GUCAUUUAGGGAAUGCCACGAGUGUCAGAAAUAAGGACGACACCGGCGUCGGUGACAGACAGACAGGACGGAAAGUGUACAUUGAGGCCUCCGGGCAUUUUUGCCGCGUGACAUCUGUGUUUUCGUAGGUCUUUUUGGUCAUGUUAGACUCAUUUCCUUGUUGUCUUUGAUUCCUUCCUUCAUCCCUCUUCAUUUAAACCAUUCCUCUGAGUAAGGUUCCUAUAUUCCAUGCCCAGUAGGAAACAGCUGUCCAGUCUAUAAGUCAUGAUAACUACCAUCUUCCUCCUUUCCCUCCAGGCUGCCCCCCCCGCCCCCCUCAUCUUACACACACAUGCAAACACACUGCAGUGAAUAACCAGCCCACAGCAUGAUGUCAGACGUCUGCUGGCUGACAAGUUCUGCCGUGGGUAAAACACACUUACUGUAAAUGCACACGGAUGUGUGUGCAUGUGUGUGUAUGUGUGUCGCCCACAACACAGGGGACCCUCGCAGGCACAGUGGUACUCUCACACACAUGUACCACAUGUGUGCACAAACACACAAACACACCCAUCCACAGCUGCAAUCCAACUCCAGACGGGAGACAAGGAAAUGGAACAGAACAGACUGCGUUGGUGGAAUACAAGUUCCUCCUGACACUAUGAUGACGACACAUUUUUUUACAUUCAUCUCCAUAAAGGACAAGAAUGAUUAAUCAGCUGUUUUUUAUAAUGUUGUUUUAAAAUCCAUCUCUCCCCUUUUUUUUCACCCAGACUCCGGUUCAAUUUGCCCUCCCAUCCUUUAGGCCUGCUACGAAAAGCCCGCUCUCCUCGUAUGGCCCGGGUUAUUGAUUUGCCAUUAUGUUAUAUGGGGGGAGAAAAUCCAUGGCUUUCCCUUUAAAUAACCAUCACAUGAAGACAAGAGAGAUAUAUCACAGAGAAACCAUAUCGAAUUGGAACACAUGGGACGCCCGGCGUAAGCAAGGGAUGAAGAAAACAGCAAAUUUAUUUCCUUGGGAAGGAUGCAGAGCCGGAUAAUUUACUUUAGAGUUACCAGGAAUUGAAGCCUCCCUGGGACUGAGAGACUUUUGGCAGGAAAAUGUCCAGGCUCCGUUUGCUCAUGGACGAGACGUGCUAAAUUAGCGCUGGUGUGGAGACUGUGCUGCUCUGCUGCAGCCACAUCACGGUGAAACGCACGUCUGAGGCCCACGACGCAGCACUGUCACAGAAAACCUCUCCAACAACAGAGGGAGGACAACAGAGGACACGCAGCAGACAAAGGGCUGCCUGUGCUGUUAUGUUCAGGAAGUGAGGCCUAAUCUGCUCUGAUGUGGUGAGCUGCAGUACCUGUAACACACACACACACACACACACACACACACACAGGCAGUUCCUGUGUAGAGCGUAUGAUGUCUAGUGCACGUGAACCAGAGUGACAGGACGAUGAGUGACACAGACACACACUCUGCCAGAGCGACUCACGAGUCCUGACAGACUUGCCGUAGGCCGUGUGUGUGUGUGUGUGUGUGUGUGUGUGUGUGUGUGGGAGACAGAGGUGAUUAUAGUCGUGCAGCUCUUGUGCUAAAACUUUUCUGUAAUAAAGCAUAUUUUUAUGCAAAUACAAAACCACACAGCGGACUGAUAAACAGCCUCACAUUUACAGAA
This is a long non-coding RNA of Cynoglossus semilaevis (tongue sole), 1643 nucleotides long. RefSeq lists it as uncharacterized. The transcript is spliced from 3 exons. The record is from RefSeq and is a predicted model, not a curated record. Lineage: Eukaryota; Metazoa; Chordata; Actinopteri; Pleuronectiformes; Cynoglossidae.